GGGCUGUUAGCUCAUCUGGUAGAGCGCCGCUUUUGCACAGCGGAGGUGGCCGGUUCGAGUCCGGCACAGUCCA
RNAcentral lists this transfer RNA (73 nucleotides) under Candidatus Moraniibacteriota bacterium. Its description in RNAcentral is "tRNA-Ala". It matches the Rfam family "tRNA". From Rfam's summary of the family: Transfer RNA (tRNA) molecules are approximately 80 nucleotides in length. The record is from RNAcentral. Lineage: Bacteria; Candidatus Moraniibacteriota.